Long non-coding RNA from Quercus lobata, 636 nucleotides. RefSeq lists it as uncharacterized. The record is from RefSeq and is a predicted model, not a curated record. Lineage: Eukaryota; Viridiplantae; Streptophyta; Magnoliopsida; Fagales; Fagaceae. The transcript is spliced from 3 exons.
GCAAACUGAAUCUUAACACCACAAGUGCAAGUAAAGUUUUCGUCAAUUUGGACAUUACAGAGGUUUCUAAGCUCAUUGACAGAUAUAAAGUUGUUGAGAAUGAAUACGAUAAUGUUGUUCGAUCUAUUCCAGCACAUGACAAAAAACCCAAAUCUGAAUCAGAAUUGAUAUUGCAGACUACGAUGUCAUUGGCAAAAAUUAAAGCAUUGGAAUGGGUGGAAGGAGUCAAGGAAAGAUUUUUUACCUGUUAUGCGGAUAUUGUAAACAUAGAAACAGAAUUUGAGUGGAAUUAAAUCUCAUGUCAACUUUGCAAGCAAAAAGUAAAACAACAAAAUAAUAUGUUUUGGUGUAACAGUUGCAAUUCUGAAUCUCAGCUCCCUAUGCCUAGGUGACCAAAUUCUUCAUUGUUUAUACUAUAUAACUGUUCAAAUGACUGCAUAGGAAAACAAAAUGAUAAUUGCUUUAAUUAUAAAUGUACAAAUGACCUGAUUACACUUUCUAACUUCUCUCAUUAUUAUAUACAGUUACAAACUACAAAUCCAAGUGAAGGAUCAUACUGGGACAACUUCUUUUGUUCUUUUUGAUAAAGAUGCAGAAAAAAUAAUUCAAAAAACCGCUAUGUAACUUUCUUCAAAA